Long non-coding RNA from Pteropus alecto (black flying fox), 9293 nucleotides. RefSeq lists it as uncharacterized. Lineage: Eukaryota; Metazoa; Chordata; Mammalia; Chiroptera; Pteropodidae. The transcript is spliced from 3 exons. The record is from RefSeq and is a predicted model, not a curated record.
CGGCCGCCGAGGCCCCGGCGACGUGCCCUCCCCCUCCCCCCACUCCGAGCUCGGGUCCUAUCACCUCGCUGGUGUUCGGGGCCUGUUUUAGGAUCCCCCUCAAACAGCUCCCACUGCAGGACCUCACACCCAGUGUGCCCACCCCGGCGCCCACGCACCCCGCCGCGGCCGAGUGCGGGAUUGGCGAGCCCCCUUGUGACCCGCUCUUUGCGUCAAGAGCGCCCAGGGCAUAUCUUUAGGCACCCCGAGAUAGGAGCUGCUGUGUCCAGCUUGCCGACGAGAAAGCAGACUGGGGAACAGCAAUCUGCCCGAGAGACAAAACCAGUGACGGGGCGGGAGUGGACCCGAAGAAAUCCGAGAGGAGGGGAGCCCGCGGAGCUGUUCAGGGGGGGUCGCUGUGUGUGGGGAAACCACGGCCUGCUCCCCUGGGACGCAGAAGCCAGGAGACAGAGGUUCGGCCUGGCGCCCUUCUCCGCUGGGGCUGCGGGCCAGGCCACUCCCAAUCCCACCCCGGGCAAGCGGGAUGAUCUCCAUCCGCAGACCCACCGGGCCUGCCCCAGGACUGACAGCUUGGGGGUGGCAGGCACCCAGCCGUGCCCUUCUUUCUCCCAGAAUCCUCAAGGCCUAGCUCCUGGGGGGUGACCUGGAGGCCCUGAGGAUCAAAGCCAUGCCCUCUGACCUCUCUGCUGACCCGCGGCUUAUCAAUCAUUAGCCAGGACUGCCUUCCUGGUAGCUUUGUUGCCCCUGGGGCCAGGCCCAGACAAUGGCCCUGGCCACCCGCAGAGUCCCAGACUCUACAUCUGUGGCUUAGUUGAAUUCCUUUUAACUCUCUGGUGACCUCACCCUCCGACUUGGUCAGAAGGUCACUAGAUCACCCUUGGAAUCCCAGAUUCUUUAUCUCUGGCUUAGCUGAGUUUUUAACUCUCAGGUGACCACCCUCAUCCUGAGUUAAAAGGUCACUUGUCCCAGCCAGUGCUGCCCAGGGGGUGCAAGCAGAGGCCGAAGGGUGGGCGGGGGCUCUGCCAACGACCUCCACCUCCAUUCCAGGCACGUCCUGGGGGACAUCUCAUGGGGGAGAUGGCGUUGGGGAGGUGCAGGGCUCAGCCACCCCGCCCCCAGGGAUCACAGGAGGCUUCUCGGAGGAGAUGGUCCUCGGGCAGGAGCUGGUCAGGCGGGCAUUCAGGUGACUGCUGACUGGGGUGAAAGUCCAGAGGGGGUCUCGGAUCGAGGGUCACACAAGACUCUCCCGUUGGAAAUGGAAGGGGCCCCAGAGAUCCCCUGUAUUUUACAGACGAGGAAACUGAGGCCAGGAGAGAAGGCGUAGUUGACCUCUCCUGAGCCUGAGACCCCAGGUGUCCUGUGAGAACGGUCCCCCCCACAGCCUCGCCCCGCAGCCUUUUGUUCCUUUUGGGGAGGUCCCUCUUUUGAGUCUAAAAGGUUUGGUAUGGUUUGGGAGAGUUAGAACACUGUUUGGUUUCUUUCUGCGGCUGAAAGCUCAGAAACUGUACGGUUCCCUGAAGCCCCAUAAGGCCGCGGGUGGCACUGUCCCCAACCUCUGCAGUCAAAUGCUCUAUCCCUGAGCUACACCCCCUUACCGAACCACCCUCUGGAGAGCAAUAUUAGAGUAAUCGGGAGAAGGCCAUCACGCAGUGAGGACUUCAGCUAAUCUGCUGAAACGCUUGGUGAUUCUGCCACCAAAAUGCCAUGCCAAGGGUCACAGCCCAGAGGAGCCACGGGGCGGGGAGGUGGGAGGGAGCGGAGAGCAGGGGGCUGUGUUUUCUCCAAGACAUUCUUGGCCUCGGGCUCAGACUGAUUACAGAGAACAAAGGGAGAGAGGACUUGGCUUGCGAACAUGUGGCCUUUGCCUUCCCCGCUGCUCCUGGAAGUUUCCCAGUCGGUGGCGUUGGCCAGAUGGGCCGUGGGGGCGGCUGGAGCAUGAAGACGAGACUUGGGGUGUCUCUAAGGGCAGUGCCAGGGCCUCUUCCGUGAGCCCCACAGCUCCAGGUCGUGCCCCCCGCCGGGCACUACCCGAGGCCCUCCCCAGCUCAGGGCUGCUUUGCUGUCCCAGCAUGACUGUAGUGUGUGUGUGUGUGCGUGUGUGUUGGGGGGUGGGGGGCGGAGAGCAUGUCUCACUCAUCGGGUCCUAAGUGCCAUGAGCCUUUGUGGGGCCGCAAACAACUGCCUGUCACCCCUCAGGAAAAGCCCAUGGGCGCCAUGAUGGUUUUCUCAUUUCUAACCCGUAGAUAACAAAACUCACUUCCGAGGUUUCCUUGAGGCCUGAGGGAGAGAAUAUAGGACGGUGGCUGAAUUAUUAUUAUCUGUUACUUGCAUUGUGCCCUGUCCUGGGCGAGGACAGUAUCCUCUUCCCCAAGAUUGCUCUGAAGGUCCUGGUAAUACUGACUUUCCCCAGGGCAGGAGCUGGGAAAGAGCUGGCGAGUGCCCAAGCCAUAUUGGUAAAGGUCAUGCAAAGUGGCCUCAGUUGGCCUCCUCAGGCAUUCCAUCACCAAAUACUCACUGAGGGCCAGCUCUGUGCCAGACACCAUGCUGAGUCUCGGGGAUACUACAGGGGAGAGACCUGGCCCUCCCCCUGGACAUCCAGAGAAAAUGAACAAGCACAAGCCGACUCCAACUUCCAGAGUCAGGGAGGCCUUCCUGGAGUAAGCAGCAUGCAAACUGGAGUGUGAAGGAGCAGGGGUUGGCUAGGUUUGUGGGUAGGGCUGGGAGGAGGGUGGGGAGGGUAUUCCCAGCAGAGGGAAUGGCACGGGCAAAGGCCCAGAUAGUGAGGGAGAACAUGGGACUCCCAGGAGCUUCCAGGAGUUCUGUGCCCUCCUGAGGACAGCUGUGCCUAGGAACUGCUCCAGCAGCGCCCCCCCCUCCCCGCUCCACCACAUUGAAGGCGGGGCUCUGUGAGCAAAGGGUGUAGUGAGCGGGGCGGCUUUGCAGGUAAAGUUUUAUGGAAACAGUUCCAAGAGGGUGCACAAUUAUUUUGCCGGUGUAUUUUAUAUGAAAAAAAUGUUUCUUUUGCAAAACAGCAACGUGUCACAAUUUCAUUAAUGAAUGCUUGUGCAGGCUCUGUGUGGUUCCUUGUGAAGGUCUCAGAUGUGGCUAUGUAACAGAACAGAGGUGGGGACACCCAUUAUGUUGACUUUCCUGGGAUCAGGGACCCUUCAGCCUAGAGGGGAGCGCAGAGAUGAGGUGUGGCAUGGAGGUUAAGUCACAUGUCCCAAGUCGUCCAGCCCUCAGCAGGCACGGUGGGGCCAGGGGCUGCCUGGAGGGCCGGGAGGGCCGCUUGCUGGAGCGUUGAGCCCACAGUCUGGCCCGGCCCUGCGUCUCCCUCAGGUGUGGCCUGAGUCAGGCCCCCCCCGCCCCGCCUUUGCUGCCAUCUGGGGUGGGGCACUGGAGCCCCCGCAAGGGAUCAUCAGCUGGCAGUGCUCCUCUGGCUGCAGGGGGAGGCAGUGCAUGUGGGGAUGGCUGGCUCUGUGCUCAGGACUCUGGGAGAGGUCUGGAACUUUCCACGGGGGAGGGAGAGUCGCCACUUUCCUGGCACCUCUGAAGGAAAGGGCAGGCCCUGCGUCUGAAGAGGACGCCCUGGAAGUUUAGGUUGUGUUCCUGCUUAAUUCAUUGGGACGCUGCCCCCAGUCUGGCCAAAUGACCCUGCCAGAGGGCUGUGCCGAUAUGGCCAGUGCCAAGAGUCAGGAGACAAGAUUCCCGCCCGGCUUUGUCCCUGACUUCCUGGGGGACCCAAUGGGCGAGGGCAGUGGUCAUUCUUUCCUGACUGCCAGGGCCCCAGAGCCUUCUGUCCCCUAAGCAAAGGGCUUAUGACAUGUGCUGCCGCCUGCACUGCCGGCCCCAGGCCACUCAGAGCGGACACUGGACACUGCACAGACGGGGCCUGGGCCCUCGAGGGUCCUGCUUCUCCUGAUGGGUGGCAGAGAACCAGCCUUGGCGACCUAUGGGUCCUGAGUUUUAUGAUGGGCACCUGAGGACAACUUGGGGAGGAAUGGUCUAUCUACCUGGAUACGGCAACUGAAGAUUAGCUGGUCCACCUUCUUGACACAGAUGGGGAAACUGAGGCCCAGAAGGGGGAAGUCGCCUGUCCGCGGUCACUGUGUUACUAAGUGGUGUCAUUUGUAGGCUGUUUUCAGUUCUAUUCAGCAGACAUUUCCUGAGUGUCUCCCGGGAGCCUGGCUUGGCCCCUGGUGGAUAUCAUCAUGUGUCAGUUUCUCCAUCCAUUUAUUCGACAAGCACUCAGCGAGGAGGCAGUGCCCAGGCACGGGGCAGACAGGGUCCCUGCCUCACGGAGCUUUCGUACUGUGUGUUUCCUGUGGCUCUGGACAAAAUGACUGCAAAUCAAGUGCCUUGAAACAACAGAUCCGGUCUCUCGCAGAAGGCAGGGAGCAGGCAGGGCCAUGCUCCCCCUGACCCUCCAGGCCAAGGUCCUCCCUGGCUCUCCCAGCUUCUGGGGGCUCCAGGGCUGCCGGCCACGUCACUCUAGCCUCUGCCCAUCUUCACUGGCCUUUACCCUCUGCUCUCUCUCCUGCGUGUCUUUUAUAAAGACGCUUGUCAUGGGAUGUAGGGCUCACCUGGAUAAUCCAUAAUGAUCUCAUCUUGAGAUACUUAAUUACAUCUCCAAAGACCCUUAUUCCAGGAAAGGUCCCAUUCACAAUUUCGAGGGGUCAGGACGUGGAGGGCGGGGCCUUAGAAAUGAGCCUGUGGGCUGUGAGUUUCAUCCCAAAUGCUCUGGGAAGCUGCUGGUGGCUCUUAAGCAGGAGAGUGACGUUACGUGACUUAUAUUUCUAGAAGUCACUCUGGGCAGCUGCGUGGCAAAUGGGUUACAGGGAGAUAAAGAGUGAGCCGGUGUGGGGCUCUUGCGGGGUCUCAGGCUGGCGGUGCCCUGGGCGGGGCGGGAACCAGGAGGCUGGCGAGAAGUGCGCAGACCUAGUGGGGUUGGGGGUAGCGUGGCCAGACGAGACUUGGCGAGGCAGGAGGAAUAAUUCAGGCUGACUUGUUAUUUUGGCUCAAGCACUGGGUGGAUGCUGAUUGCUGAUUGCUAAGCUGGGGAAGGCCAGUUGGGGCGGGGGUGGGAAAAGUUAGAAUUCCGCGUGGACACUGAAAAUGGCCUGUUAGAUGUCUGUUCACCCCUUCACGGACAUUUAUUGAGUGCCUGCUUGGGCCAGGCACAGAGCAGGGUGCAGAGUGAGACAGAGCCUGUCACAGACCUGAGACACUGAGCACAGUUAACCAUUCGUGCUGAGUGCUGGGAAGUUUGGGGUGCAGAGAGACCGGGCAAGAAAGGAAAUGCAUCUGCCCACGUUCGUUGGGGUGCGGUUUGGGAGGACUUCCCGGAGGAAGGGACCUUUGAGCUGGUGUGGAUGUGACUGAGCUAGCCGAGUCGAGGAGUGGACCUGGGACCAUCCGGCCCGCAGAGUCCCAGCUUCUGAAGCCAGGUGCCCAGGACACGUGACAGGUGUAGACACAUGGCCAGAGAGGUGAGAGGAGAUGGGUCCUGCAGGAGGGGACUCUGUAGAGACAUCAGGGGCUGGGGACAGUCCAUAUGUCCACUGGCCUUGGUCAUAGGAGGUCACUGCCUGGGCCAGAGCGGCCCGGAGGCAGCAAUGUGGAAGAUGCUUCUCCCUUUCCCAGGACUGCCUUCUAUCCUGUCUUGCUGCCUACUUCUAGCUGGUUCGAUCCAAGACCUGUCUCUCUGUGACGGGUGCUGGGGACAGGGCCUGGAGCCGUAAGAGCGGCCUCGAGCUUGCCCUGCCUCCUGGGGACGUCGGGUGGCCUUGAAGCGGGGUGUGGGCCUGUCCUCAUGCUAGACCCGCAAGGGACGCAGAGGCACAGGGACCCAGCCCAUCGACACACCUGGCGUCUCCCUGGGCUGUCUCUGGUGCCAACCUCGUCCCAUGCUCAGGGCCUGGCGCAGAUGAGUUAGCAUAGCAGGCAGAGUGGGAGGCCCAGGGGGACCCCUGCUGGCUUCCCAGUCAUGCGGGUCUCGGGCCCCCUUUUCAGCUUUCUGCUGCAGCUUUCGACAGUGCCAAAUGGAGCAAAUGGGGUGCAAGCCUGCACCCCCAGGACACGUCCGGAUCCCAUUCGCAUUCUGAAACACCUGCCUCCGUGUUUUUGAGCCUGAGCAGAGGAAAUCGGGAAAAACGACUUGCUAGCUCGCUUCCAGUGACCCAGCUUUCUCCCCUUGUAAUUUAUGCACAGAGCCGUCAGCCUUGUACGUUGCCAGAUGAGGGUGUUAAAAUAUAAAACAGAGACCCAACCAGCCACCACCUCGUAGGUCACCAUGUCCUAUGCAGAGAGGCCAUUUGAAUGCCCCGGAUUCUGGAAGGAUGAGGUCUCGGAAUAACAGAAAGCCUUUUAAAGCGAGUCAGGCUGGCUUUGUGGAAAAGCUCCCGUGGUGAUUUUUCUCAUCCCUCGUUUUGUUGCAAUCCAGUGGAAAUUUUGUCAGGCCAGUGCAGGGUGGAGUUUGGAACGCCUGUGUUCGACUCCCCGAUUUUCCAGACGAGGAAGCCGAGGCCUGCUCUUGCUCCAGGCGGAAGGACGCUCGACUGUGGGGUUGUAACCAGACCCCAGGGCCUCGGCCUGUCGCACCACAGGCAACCUGGCUGUUCCAUCUGAGCUGCUCCCGGCUGACCGGGCAUUGCCCAGAGCCGCUGUGAUGUUUAUAGCCAGCAGAAGUUCAUUCUGGAAGUUUCCACUCGAGGAGCAGGGCAGAAAGAACCCCUCCAACUGCCAGCAUCUGUAGUUUUAGAAAGACCGUGUCCAUAUCUUUGCCACUCGACGAGACCGUCUGCUUCUGAGACCGUGAGCCUCAGAACAUGUGACAUGGCCUGGCAUCAGUCCGCGCCAUAAUCCGUGUGAAGGCUUCGUUCACCUGAGAAAUUUCCUUUUAGCUGCCCUCUCAGGUGACAAAUGGCAUCUGAUGCCUGUGAACCAGGCAGUCCCUAUCUUCCUGCUCACCAGUGACUUAAGGCAAGAGUGUCCCUUUCCUAAAGAGAGGUGACAGGUGGGGUGUCAGCCAUCUGAUCUGUGUCAGCCUCCGAGAGUGUACGAUUCCUAUAAAACAAUGUUCUCCCCAUAUGGGUGCGAUAACUAAUGUUUUUAUUUUAUUUUGGAGAUUCUGGUUUCUUCCAUGGUCAAGUUCUGAUUUAAUCUCUUUGCCUGGGCUAUCGCGUCCGUCUUCCCAGCCCAACGGGCGCUGUCAGCAGCCCCUGGCACGGAAGGUGAGAAGGGGGUGCGGUGAGGUUUAUUAGCAAGGUGGGGCCGUGCCCGGGCUGUUUGAACCCACCACGCUGCCUUCCCCUGCAGUGCGUGAGUCCGGGCUAGCGAGGUUUUGCAAAAGAGUUUAUUUUCCGUUUAUAUUUGGCAUUAUGCCUCAUGGACCUAAUCUACAGUCAGAUGAUAGAACCAGAGAUUUAAAUUGCCGGAUUGAAGCCUCUUCUCAGAAGAGAGGGAAACAAUCUGAGAGAGAAGAUUCCAGACCGGCCUGAGGCCCUGCUCCUAAGAGCACCCGCAGCCCAGUGACACCACUGAGCGACCGGUGGGCACGUGGUGGCUGUGGGUGGGCUGCGGUCACCUGAAGUAACAUCACAGAUGUUGGCAUCGCUCCCAGGGCUCAGGGAUGGAAGAGGCAGCGAUGGUCUCGUUUGCCCAGGUCACCAAGGGCCACUCCGAUGCAGCAGGUCUGGGCGUGGGACUUCUUUGGUCGUGUGCCCUCUGGAGGUGGUACUGCUGGGGGUCUGUCCAUAUAUGACCUGUGUCCAAGAGUGGGGCCGUCGCCUGGGAACCCCUCCCUCUUUCUCUGGUGCUGACACUGCUGAGUUCCUCCUGUGUGUGGCCAGGGGAAGUGGGGCCUCGGCACUCCGGUCUGCCCUGGGCUCUAGGAAUGAGCAGCCCCCUCUGCUAAGGGUUUGUCACACUCCAAGGUGACAGUCACUUGGCUCAGCUCUUCCCACCGAAGUCUGCGAGCAGCUGGGCCGACACUGAGAAGGCCUGGCUUCGGGGUAUGAAGGGAAGAGCAGACAGGGUGGGGGGCGUCUACUGACAUACCCAGGAGUGGAGGCAGGAGGGAAGUGUCUCCGUGAGCCUCAAGCAGUCCCCAGCUUUGGUGAAGGAGCGUAAAGCUCAGGACGCUGGCUUUCAGAUGACUGAGAGGUGCCCCCACGAUGCAGGGGCCAAAGCCAGGGCAAGUCUGAGCAUCAGGCUCCCUGGCAUCCUCGUCCGUCCCACCGUCCACUUCCGCCACCCGAGACUUGGGGAGGAGGUCCAUUCCCCUGGGGAUUUUUGUUUUUAACUUUUAAAUCAUCUUUUAUUUGGGUUGCAAAAUUUCUUUGUUACUUAACGUUUUAUGUGCUCUCUUUUGAAAUCUCAUAGCUUGACACGUAAAACACUAUCAACCACGACACUGCUUCACAGACCUUCUUAGACACAACUUGCCAAAUGAGCCCUGUCUGCUGGCUCCGGAUUAGUGCGUUAAAACCAUAUCCAUUGAAAAAGGCGAGUGAAUUAAUUGGCAGAACAUCCGAGUCCUUUCCUGAUGAAGGCAAACCCCCAGGCACGAGGCGGGGAGCCCAGCCCGGGGACCCCGCCCCACACUCCCUGGGCCACCGCGCCUCCCUUUCCGAACUGAUGUUAUUUCCGUCACCAGAGUAAGGCUCCUUUAUGACAAAGGGGACAAGUAUGAAGCCAGCACAGGCCACUCUUGCUGUUGCUCUCUCGUUGGGACGUGUCUCGGAGAUGUGUACGGGGCUGGGGCGGUCACGGGCUCGUCGGUUCCAGAGAGCCUGACCCUGUGUGGUCUCAAGGCAGCGCUCGGACGGAGGGGGGCGGCACCUCGUCUCUGCACGCAGGUUACUGACACAUCUCUUCUUGGAUGAGACGCGCUUCCGACCGGCUGCAGAUGGCACGUAGGUUGGCAUCUUGAGUCACGACACCAGAGUGCCACGCGGUGUCCCCUCUCUCCACCGGACCCAUCCUUUCCCUGCAGCUCAGUUUUUCUCUGAUGGGUGGGAGGCCACUAUCAAGGCCAAGAGAGUGGCAGGUCCAGUCUCAGACCCGAGCCCCCAGCAUGUCCCCGGCUCUUGCUGAAAUUCUGUCCAGCCCUCCGUUUUGUGGGGGUUCCAGCCAAGGGGGGGGUCCCUUGGGGAUCACUCCCUCUGAUCUUCUGCAAGUAGCCUCAGUAUUUCAAGGGUGGUCUUGGGGAUCAGGCCCCCAGUUAACUAAUAGGUGCUGAGCCUCACAGUGUCCUGGGCGUGGGUGGGCGCUGUAGGGGUGCAGAGAGGGGA